AGAGUUUGAUCAUGGCUCAGGACGAACGCUGGCGGCGUGCCUAAUACAUGCAAGUUGAACGCUGAAGCUUUAACUGAUGCUUGCAUCGACCUAAGUUUUCAGAGUAGCGGACGGGUGAGUAACACGUGGGUAACCUGCCCAUCAGAGGGGGAUAACACUUGGAAACAGGUGCUAAUACCGCAUAAUUCCUUUUACCGCAUGGUAAAAGGCUGAAAGACGCUUCUGGUGUCACUGAUGGAUGRACCCGCGGUGCAUUAGCUAGUCGGUGGGGUAACGGCCUACCGAGGCAAUGAUGCAUAGCCGACCUGAGAGGGUGAUCGGCCACAUUGGGACUGAGACACGGCCCAAACUCCUACGGGAGGCAGCAGUAGGGAAUCUUCGGCAAUGGACGAAAGUCUGACCGAGCAACGCCGCGUGAGUGAAGAAGGUUUUCGGAUCGUAAAACUCUGUUGUUAGAGAAGAACAAGAGAAGUAGUAACUGGCUUCUCCUUGACGGUAUCUAACCAGAAAGCCACGGCUAACUACGUGCCAGCAGCCGCGGUAAUACGUAGGUGGCAAGCGUUGUCCGGAUUUAUUGGGCGUAAAGCGAGCGCAGGCGGUCUUUUAAGUCUGAUGUGAAAGCCCUCGGCUUAACCGAGGAGGGUCAUUGGAAACUGGGAGACUUGAGUGCAGAAGAGGAAAGUGGAACUCCAUGUGUAGCGGUGGAAUGCGUAGAUAUAUGGAAGAACACCAGUGGCGAAGGCGGCUUUCUGGUCUGUAACUGACGCUGAGGCUCGAAAGCGUGGGGAGCAAACAGGAUUAGAUACCCUGGUAGU
This 815-nucleotide ribosomal RNA is filed under the name uncultured bacterium. Its description in RNAcentral is "bacterial SSU rRNA". It matches the Rfam family "Bacterial small subunit ribosomal RNA", at positions 8 to 794 of the family's 1533-position model. The record is from RNAcentral.